RNAcentral lists this transfer RNA (71 nucleotides) under Mesocricetus auratus (golden hamster). It matches the Rfam family "tRNA". From Rfam's summary of the family: Transfer RNA (tRNA) molecules are approximately 80 nucleotides in length. Their secondary structure includes four short double-helical elements and three loops (D, anti-codon, and T loops). Further hydrogen bonds mediate the characteristic L-shaped molecular structure. tRNAs have two regions of fundamental functional importance: the anti-codon, which is responsible for specific mRNA codon recognition, and the 3' end, to which the tRNAs corresponding amino acid is attached (by aminoacyl-tRNA synthetases). tRNAs cope with the degeneracy of the genetic code in two manners: having more than one tRNA (with a specific anti-codon) for a particular amino acid; and 'wobble' base-pairing, i.e. permitting non-standard base-pairing at the 3rd anti-codon position. The record is from Rfam by way of RNAcentral. Lineage: Eukaryota; Metazoa; Chordata; Mammalia; Rodentia; Cricetidae.
GGAAAGGUGGCUCAGUAGUUAAGAGUACUGGAUGUUCUACCAGAGGACCCAGGUUCAAUUCCUAGCAUCCA